RNAcentral lists this non-coding RNA (148 nucleotides) under human gut metagenome. The record is from RNAcentral.
GCCUUAGAAGUUCUUAAUGUUCUAUUCAAAUACAGCCAUGUUUGAACACGAUGUUCAAACAAACCGCCACUGAGCCAUGGAUGGCGAAUUGGCGGUGGUGGCGUACGGAUAUAAUAUGUAAAUUUGAACAUUUAGAACUUCUUAGGCU